This 301-nucleotide ribosomal RNA is filed under the name uncultured bacterium. RNAcentral's name for it is "partial 16S ribosomal RNA". It matches the Rfam family "Bacterial small subunit ribosomal RNA", at positions 509 to 808 of the family's 1533-position model. The record is from RNAcentral.
CAGCCGCCGCGGUAAUACGUAGGUCCCGAGCGUUGUCCGGAUUUAUUGGGCGUAAAGCGAGCGCAGGCGGUUAGAUAAGUCUGAAGUUAAAGGCUGUGGCUUAACCAUAGUACGCUUUGGAAACUGUUUAACUUGAGUGCAGAAGGGGAGAGUGGAAUUCCAUGUGUAGCGGUGAAAUGCGUAGAUAUAUGGAGGAACACCGGUGGCGAAAGCAGCUCUCUGGUCUGUAACUGACGCUGAGGCUCGAAAGCGUGGGGAGCAAACAGGAUUAGAUACCCCUGUAGUCCCUGUCUCUUAUACA